GUGUGUGUAUAUAUUAUACAAUACAUACACGCACCAUCCUCAUGGUCAUUCAGUAGACUCAUCUGUAUGAAUGAAGUGCUCUAGUAGCUGAAGCAAAUGGGUUCUCAACAACUGCUGCAGAGCCUUCCGAGCAUAGGAAUUCAAAAUGAGGGUGUAAAUUCUGCUUAUAAAUUAUCAGCUUUCAAGUUUGAAUAAGCUGCACCAAACAUGCCUAGUGACUUGUGCAUUCAUUGUUCGGCACGGCAAGAGGUGAAAGUUCCUUCAGUGCAUCACUUUGAGUUUGGAUGGCCAGAGGGCAUUGAGGUGGUCAAUUAUGUGGUGGAAAUUAAAUUUAUGUAAUGUGAAAUAAAUCUGAAUCAAAAAAAGAUAAUUUUAAAUAAUUUCUGAGUAGUUAAGUUUAAGUUUGUAAUAUUACUAUUUGAAGUAAUUAUCCUGAAUUUUCAUAAUAACAUGUAUUUUUGUGUAUCAUUCAAGGCAUUAUAUAUUUAUAUAUGAACUAAAAUUCUACAAAAAUGAUGGGUAAAUUGUUUAAUAAUAAAUUACAAAACACCAUUAAUCAGGCUACACGUUGUACCUACUUAUGAAAUAAUUUUAACAAUAUUCAGGAUAAUUCUGCCCCCUUCUUCUCCCAUCUCAAUUGAUUUAUACUCAUGGUCACCUGCAAUGCACGAGAUUUUAAAAAGUUAAUAAUUAUUAAAAAAAAAAAUUGCUAUUUAAUUGUAUUUCUUAAUAUUUUAUUUAGUUUAUGUAUAUAAAUCUUACUUCACAUCAUUAAAAAAAUGUUAAUAUUUCACAUUAUUGAAUUUUUUAAAAAACUAUCAUACAUUAAAUAAAUUAUCACAUAUAUAAUAGUUAAUUUAUCUAAGAAUUACUUUAGAC
Long non-coding RNA from Camellia sinensis, 879 nucleotides. RefSeq lists it as uncharacterized. The record is from RefSeq and is a predicted model, not a curated record. Lineage: Eukaryota; Viridiplantae; Streptophyta; Magnoliopsida; Ericales; Theaceae.